This 465-nucleotide ribosomal RNA is filed under the name uncultured bacterium. RNAcentral describes it as "partial 16S ribosomal RNA". It matches the Rfam family "Bacterial small subunit ribosomal RNA", at positions 28 to 507 of the family's 1533-position model. The record is from RNAcentral.
GACGAACGCUGGCGGCGUGCUUAACACAUGCAAGUCGUACGGUAAGGCCCUUUCGGGGGUACACGAGUGGCGAACGGGUGAGUAACACGUGAGUAACCUGCCCACAACUUUGGGAUAACGCUAGGAAACUGGUGCUAAUACUGGAUAUGUGCUCCUGCUGCAUGGUGGGGGUUGGAAAACUCCGGCGGUUGUGGAUGGACUCGCGGCCUAUCAGCUUGUUGGUGGGGUAGUGGCCUACCAAGGCGGCGACGGGUAGCCGGCCUGAGAGGGUGACCGGCCACAUUGGGACUGAGAUACGGCCCAGACUCCUACGGGAGGCAGCGGUGGGGAAUAUUGCACAAUGGGCGCAAGCCUGAUGCAGCAACGCCGCGUGCGGGAUGACGGCCUUCGGGUUGUAAACCGCUUUCAGCAGGGACGAAGCUUUUUGUGACGGUACCUGCAGAAGAAGCACCGGCUAACUACGUG